UUUAUUUUCUUGUAAUAAUGCUCAUAUGCUAGCUUAUGCAUCAGAGGAAAGAUGAAAAUAAUAAAUAUCUCAUGCAUCUGAUGGUAAUGUUGUAAUGGAUCCUAGCUCUUGUCUAUGUAUAGUCAAAUUCCAGUGACCUUCAUUUGAAUUAUCUCCUUCCAGAAUUACUUAUGUCACCUUUCUCUGUUGUUCACAUUAUUAUGUAAUCGGUUACUGUGUACUAGAGAAGGCAUACUUAACUUCAGUAUUAACUCAGAAAAAUAUUUGGGAGAUCAUUCAUAUGACCUUGGACAAGUCAUUAAUUGGCAACUUCUCUGAUCUUCAGUUUCCUCAUCUGUAAAAUUAGGAGGUUGGACUAAACAACCUUAAAGGUCCCUUUCAGCCCUAGAUCUGUGGUCCCAUAACCUGGAACUAUUUAUACUUGGAUGCUUUAAAACUGCCUCCCUUACUACAUAUUGCCCCUCCUCCCAAUGCCUUUCUGUUCUGUGGAAUUUUCCUUCCUGUAAUUUCAUAAAUUUUUUAAUCACUCACCAUCUCAAAACUAAAUAUGAUCCUUGAAUAUCUGGUCAAGCACCACCUGGUUGUUCAGGAGGGCUUUUUUGUAGUCUCCCCAUAGCUGCUAUUGUUAACUCUUUAAAGUUAUUUUCCAUUUACUCUGUAUUUAUCUCUUAUGUUCUGAAUUAUAUACAUUGUCUUCCACUUUUAAAAUAUAAGCUUCUUGAGGGCAGGGACCAUUAUAUUUUUUUGUUUGUGUCCUCAGCCUUGGCAUAGUGCCUGGCAUAUAGUAAGUCCUUAACAAAUACUUGUUGAUCGAUCUGCUGUAAUCUUUCCUCCAUCAGCAUGAACAAUUAAAAAUUGACUCUUUUCCAAACAUGAAUUGAAUGGUGUUGAGAAAUGCCAGAAUGUGGACAGCUUUGAUGACUCAUUCAACACAAAAGUCUGAAUUACCCCAGCAAAAAAAAAAAGACUGUCCUGAAAACAUUGCCAUAGGAAGAGAAUCACAGAAUUCUUUGUUGUGCCCAUUCUCCCUGGGCUUCUGCUGAGACUCAGCUAGAUAACUGGGUCAGAAAUGCAAAUAUUAUGUCACCAAAUGGUAAUGACUUCAGGACUGAGGUAAAAAAGUAAUUGUUCCAUUAGCCAAUUUUGCUAAUAGUCUCUUGGCUCAUUCCUCAAGAACAAGUAUGAAUAAUGUGUUCCAGUAAUUGAGAAUUCAGGUUACAUUUAAAAAAAACUUGUUUUCUCUGUUUGGAGAGGGAGAGGAAAGGGCUCUGCAAAAAUUUACACAGGUAUUAAAAACAUUCUUGCAAGUGUACCUCACUGUGCACAAUGUAUUUCUAAAAAGCUAUGUUUAAACUGAUUUUUUUUUGUAAAUCCAGUUAUUUAAAAUAUUGUAUAUGGGGGGUAUAUAGAGAAGGGCUUGUUAUUUAAAUUUUAUGGUGAAUUCCUUUUUGUAAAGCAUUCUUUUGUAAAAACGAAUAACCACUCUAAUUUUUAAAAUCUGGGCUUUCCUGGUUUUGUAAAUCUUGAUUUUCAUAUCUCAGUUUGCUUAAAGUGGAAUGUACCUGUAUUUGUAUUGCUUGAUAUAUUUUAUAUUUUAAUGGCAGGACCUGAGCUACAGCCUCAGCUUUUGGUCAUUAAAAAAGUUUUUUUUUUUCAGAUAUAUUUGACUGACAUGGGUGAUUAUGGCCAAAAAUAAAUAUAUAAAUCAUCACCUGUUGGCCAACCUUUUGAUGAAGAGCACUUGGGUUUAGUCAGUCUGAGACUGAACCCCCAUCCAAAACCUUUUCCAUCUUGAAGGGAGCUAUUUGCCAGAGCUUGCACUUUUCUGGCAAAUGCUUCUAGAACUCAGGCUUAUUCCUCACUCCCUAAAAAAGUCAUGGAAGGAUAGAUUCAGUAGAAGAUCUAUAAAUCAAAGAUCCAUCUGUAGAAAUAAUCCUUAGAUAGAGAAGAUAAAGUAGGGGAAAACAGACUGCCCAGAACCUUGAGUAAAAAACUCAAAAUUAUUAAUGACUUUCAUUGUGGCUAUAGGGAAGUAAUUUAGCCCAUCUGGAUCCUGAAUGAAAUGGAGAGCAGCUUUUUAUUUUGUUAUAACUUUUCAGAUUCCUGAAGUAUAUAAUCAGUGAUACUGAAACUGUUGAUGUGAUUGUGCAAGUUAUUUUACCUCCCUCUGCCCAGCCUGCUCCUUGGAAGGAGUCUUGGGCACUAAAUAGACAAGCCUUAUUUGAGAUCUGUUUCCAAAAGGCGAUUAUUUGCAUUCCCAUCAACUACUUAGAAUGAAUCCAUGAUUUAUUACUAUUUUUUUUUCAUCUUGCACUUUGCAUGAGAUUCUCCUAACGCAGCAGAUGUUUGUAGGGAGAGAAAUUGUGGCAUUAUUAUCUACUUCUGGCAAAAUUGAGUGUGGCAGAACAGGAAAUGGUUAGUUUAAACCUAAAGUAUUCCUGCAGCACAUAUGUCACCCAUCUUUAUUACGUACAGUUGUUUUCUGCCAUAGGUUUUAGUGAGAUGCUAUAAAGAAUUUUCUGAAAAAUUCCCUACCUUGAACACAGACCUAUUUCUCAUCACUGUCAGAACUCAUGAAGCAUGGAGUCAUGUCUUAGAGAUUUCUGCCCCUAUUUCAGCAGUAUUUGUGAAUUGUGUAAAAUGCAGUUAUUAGGAACAGCAUUGAAUAGUAUGUAUUGCACUGGGUCUGAAGUGACCAACUGGGUUCAGAUUUUACCUGUGUGACAAGUCCUUUCACUCUUGUGAGUCUCAGGCAACUUUUUAAGUUCUAUUUACUAUGUUACAGACCAGUUUUGUAUUGAUUUAUAAGGCCAGAUAUCUGGCCCUAUUGGGUAUUGGAAAAUUUGAACACAUUGUUGCACCCUUAGGAGUACAAGUAGGUUUGGGGGUAGGGGAAGACGGCCACCUGCAACCUCAAGGAGAACAAGGAGACUUGUUAAAUAUGCAGGUACAGAACUCAACUACAGUCUGUUGAUUGUUCAGAAUCAGGGAAGCUACUGACUUUUUUGCAGAUUGUUGGA
This 3020-nucleotide long non-coding RNA is filed under the name Sarcophilus harrisii (Tasmanian devil). RNAcentral's name for it is "lncRNA (ENSSHAG00000024751.1)". The record is from RNAcentral. Lineage: Eukaryota; Metazoa; Chordata; Mammalia; Dasyuromorphia; Dasyuridae.